This 253-nucleotide ribosomal RNA is filed under the name uncultured bacterium. RNAcentral's name for it is "partial 16S ribosomal RNA". It matches the Rfam family "Bacterial small subunit ribosomal RNA", at positions 524 to 776 of the family's 1533-position model. The record is from RNAcentral.
GACGUAGGGGGCCAGCGUUGUUCGGAAUUACUGGGUGUAAAGGGUUCGUAGGCGGUGCGGCAAGUUGGGAGUGAAAUCUCUGGGCUUAACCCAGAGGCUGCUUCCAAAACUGCUGUGCUUGAGUGUGGGAGAGGCGCGUGGAAUUCCACGUGUAGCAGUGAAAUGCGUAGAGAUGUGGAGGAACACCGAUGGCGAAGGCAGCCCCCUGGGGUAACACUGACGCUCAUGCACGAAAGCGUGGGGAGCAAACAGG